AGUGAACGCUGGCGGUAGGCCUAACACAUGCAAGUCGAACGGCAGCACAGUAAGAGCUUGCUCUUACGGGUGGCGAGUGGCGGACGGGUGAGGAAUACAUCGGAAUCUACUUUUUCGUGGGGGAUAACGUAGGGAAACUUACGCUAAUACCGCAUACGACCUACGGGUGAAAGCAGGGGAUCUUCGGACCUUGCGCGAUUGAAUGAGCCGAUGUCGGAUUAGCUAGUUGGCGGGGUAAAGGCCCACCAAGGCGACGAUCCGUAGCUGGUCUGAGAGGAUGAGCAGCCACGCUGGAACUGAGACACGGUCCAGACUCCUACGGGAGGCAGCAGUGGGGAAUAUUGGACAAUGGGCGCAAGCCUGAUCCAGCCAUACCGCGUGGGUGAAGAAGGCCUUCGGGUUGUAAAGCCAUUUUGUUGGGAAAGAAAAGCAGCAGGUUAAUACCCCGCUGUUCUGACGGUACCCAAAGAAUAAGCACCGGCUAACUUCGU
RNAcentral lists this ribosomal RNA (491 nucleotides) under uncultured bacterium. RNAcentral's name for it is "partial 16S ribosomal RNA". It matches the Rfam family "Bacterial small subunit ribosomal RNA", at positions 29 to 506 of the family's 1533-position model. The record is from RNAcentral.